This 741-nucleotide ribosomal RNA is filed under the name cyanobacterium enrichment culture clone 4_4_4.1.4_G07-T7. Its description in RNAcentral is "bacterial SSU rRNA". It matches the Rfam family "Bacterial small subunit ribosomal RNA", at positions 8 to 791 of the family's 1533-position model. The record is from RNAcentral. Lineage: Bacteria; Bacillati; Cyanobacteriota.
AGAGUUUGAUCCUGGCUCAGGAUGAACGCUGGCGGUCUGCUUAACACAUGCAAGUCGAACGGGAUCCUUCGGGAUUUAGUGGCGGACGGGUGAGUAACGCGUGAGAAUCUGCCCUUAGGUUGGGGACAACAGUUGGAAACGACUGCUAAUACCCAAUGUGCCGAGAGGUGAAAGGUUAACUGCCUGGGGAUGAGCUCGCGUCUGAUUAGCUAGUUGGAGUGGUAACGGCACACCAAGGCGACGAUCAGUAGCUGGUCUGAGAGGAUGAUCAGCCACACUGGGACUGAGACACGGCCCAGACUCCUACGGGAGGCAGCAGUGGGGAAUUUUCCGCAAUGGGCGAAAGCCUGACGGAGCAAGACCGCGUGAGGGAGGAAGGCCUAUUGGUUGUAAACCUCUUUUGAUAGGGAAGAACACAAUGACGGUACCUAUCGAAUCAGCAUCGGCUAACUCCGUGCCAGCAGCCGCGGUAAUACGGAGGAUGCAAGCGUUAUCCGGAUUUAUUGGGCGUAAAGCGUCCGUAGGUGGCAAACCAAGUCAGUUGUUAAAGCGUAGAGCUUAACUCUAUAAGGGCAAUUGAAACUGGUUAGCUAGAGUGCGAUAGGGGCAAGGGGAAUUCCCAGUGUAGCGGUGAAAUGCGUAGAUAUUGGGAAGAACAUCGGUGGCGAAGGCGCCUUGCUGGGUCUGCACUGACACUGAGGGACGAAAGCUAGGGGAGCGAAAGGGAUUAGAUACCCCUGU